This 493-nucleotide ribosomal RNA is filed under the name uncultured bacterium. RNAcentral describes it as "bacterial SSU rRNA". It matches the Rfam family "Bacterial small subunit ribosomal RNA", at positions 29 to 518 of the family's 1533-position model. The record is from RNAcentral.
AUGAGCGCUAGCGACAGGCCUAACACAUGCAAGUCAGGGGCAGCACAAGGAGCAAUCUGAGGUGGCGACCGGCGCACGGGUGAGUAACACGUAUGCAACCUGCCUGUAAGCGGGGAAUAACCCGUUGAAAGACGGACUAAUACCGCAUAAUACUAAAUUACUGCAUGGUAAUUUAUUUAAACAUUUAUGGCUUACAGAUGGGCAUGCGCAUGAUUAGCUAGUUGGAGAGGUAACGGCUCCCCAAGGCAACGAUCAUUAGGGGUUCUGAGAGGAAGGUCCCCCACACUGGUACUGAGACACGGACCAGACUCCUACGGGAGGCAGCAGUGAGGAAUAUUGGUCAAUGGACGAGAGUCUGAACCAGCCAAGUCGCGUGCAGGAAGAAUGUCCUAUGGAUUGUAAACUGCUUUUGCAGGGGAAUAAAGUGCAUCACGUGUGAUGUUUUGUAUGUACUCUGCGAAUAAGGAUCGGCUAACUCCGUGCCAGCAGCUGC